RNAcentral lists this ribosomal RNA (465 nucleotides) under Vreelandella stevensii. RNAcentral describes it as "partial 16S ribosomal RNA". It matches the Rfam family "Bacterial small subunit ribosomal RNA", at positions 338 to 795 of the family's 1533-position model. The record is from RNAcentral. Lineage: Bacteria; Pseudomonadati; Pseudomonadota; Gammaproteobacteria; Oceanospirillales; Halomonadaceae.
CCUACGGGGGGCAGCAGUGGGGAAUAUUGGACAAUGGGGGGAACCCUGAUCCAGCCAUGCCGCGUGUGUGAAGAAGGCCCUCGGGUUGUAAAGCACUUUCAGUGAGGAAGAACGCCUGGUGGUUAAUACCCAUCAGGAAAGACAUCACUCACAGAAGAAGCACCGGCUAACUCCGUGCCAGCAGCCGCGGUAAUACGGAGGGUGCGAGCGUUAAUCGGAAUUACUGGGCGUAAAGCGCGCGUAGGUGGCUUGAUAAGCCGGUUGUGAAAGCCCCGGGCUCAACCUGGGAACGGCAUCCGGAACUGUCAAGCUAGAGUGCAGGAGAGGAAGGUAGAAUUCCCGGUGUAGCGGUGAAAUGCGUAGAGAUCGGGAGGAAUACCAGUGGCGAAGGCGGCCUUCUGGACUGACAAUGACACUGAGGUGCGAAAGCGUGGGUAGCAAACAGGAUUAGAUACCCUUGUAGUC